UACGUAGGGGGCAAGCGUUGUCCGGAUUUAUUGGGCGUAAAGAGCGUGUAGGCGGUUAUACAGGUCCGCUGUGAAAUCUCGAGGCUCAACUUCGAGCUGUCGGUGGAAACUAUCUGGCUAGAGUCCGGAAGAGGAGAAUGGAAUUCCUGGUGUAGCGGUGAAAUGCGCAGAUAUCAGGAAGAACACCCGUGGCGAAGGCGGUUCUCUGGGACGGUACUGACGCUGAGACGCGAAAGCGUGGGGAGCGAACAGG
This 253-nucleotide ribosomal RNA is filed under the name uncultured bacterium. RNAcentral's name for it is "partial 16S ribosomal RNA". It matches the Rfam family "Bacterial small subunit ribosomal RNA", at positions 524 to 776 of the family's 1533-position model. The record is from RNAcentral.